RNAcentral lists this ribosomal RNA (266 nucleotides) under uncultured bacterium. RNAcentral's name for it is "partial 16S ribosomal RNA". It matches the Rfam family "Bacterial small subunit ribosomal RNA", at positions 793 to 1055 of the family's 1533-position model. The record is from RNAcentral.
GUCCACGCCGUAAACUAUGAGAGCUAGCCGUUGGGGAGUUUACUCCUCAGUGGCGCAGCUAACGCAUUAAGCUCUCCGCCUGGGGAGUACGGUCGCAAGAUUAAAAACUCAAAGGAAUUGACGGGGGCCCGCACAAGCAGUGGAGCAUGUGGUUUAAUUCGAAGCAACGCGAAGAACCUUACCAGCCCCUUGACAUGGUCGGACGGUUUCCAGAGAUGGAUUCCUUCACUUCGGUGACUGACACACAGGUGCUGCAUGGCUGUCGU